GCGAAAAUAGCUCAGCUGGUAGAGCGCAACCUUGCCAAGGUUGAGGUCGCGGGUUCGAACCCCGUUUUUCGCUCUA
RNAcentral lists this transfer RNA (76 nucleotides) under Flammeovirga kamogawensis. Its description in RNAcentral is "tRNA-Gly". It matches the Rfam family "tRNA". From Rfam's summary of the family: Transfer RNA (tRNA) molecules are approximately 80 nucleotides in length. Lineage: Bacteria; Pseudomonadati; Bacteroidota; Cytophagia; Cytophagales; Flammeovirgaceae. The record is from RNAcentral. RNAcentral also lists the same sequence under 4 other names.